This 119-nucleotide ribosomal RNA is filed under the name Microcebus murinus (gray mouse lemur). The record is from RNAcentral. Lineage: Eukaryota; Metazoa; Chordata; Mammalia; Primates; Cheirogaleidae.
GUCUACAGCCAUAUCACCCUGAACAUGCCCGGUCUCUUCUGAUCUCAGAAGCUAAGCAGGGUCAGCCCUGGUCAGUACUUGGAUGGGAGACUGCCUGGGAAUACCAGAUGCUUUAGGCU